This 447-nucleotide ribosomal RNA is filed under the name uncultured bacterium. RNAcentral describes it as "partial 16S ribosomal RNA". It matches the Rfam family "Bacterial small subunit ribosomal RNA", at positions 29 to 523 of the family's 1533-position model. The record is from RNAcentral.
AGCGAACGCUGGCGGCAGGCUUAACACAUGCAAGUCGAGCGCCCCGCAAGGGGAGCGGCAGACGGGUGAGUAACGCGUGGGAACGUGCCCUUCGGUCUGGAAUAACCCAGGGAAACUUGGGCUAAUACCGGAUACGUCCGAAAGGAGAAAGAUUUAUCGCCGAAGGAUCGGCCCGCGUAAGAUUAGCUAGUUGGUGAGGUAACGGCUCACCAAGGCAAUGAUCUUUAGCUGUUCUGAGAGGAAGAUCAGCCACACUGGGACUGAGACACGGCCCAGACUCCUACGGGAGGCAGCAGUGGGGAAUAUUGGACAAUGGGCGCAAGCCUGAUCCAGCCAUGCCGCGUGAGUGAUGAAGGCCUUAGGGUUGUAAAGCUCUUUUACCAGGGAAGAUAAUGACGGUACCUGGAGAAUAAGCCCCGGCUAACUUCGUGCCAGCCGCCGCUGUAA